GUGAGUAACACGUGGAUAACCUACCUAUAAGACUGGGAUAACUUCGGGAAACCGGAGCUAAUACCGGAUAACAUAUUGAACCGCAUGGUUCAAUAGUGAAAGGCGGCUUUGCUGUCACUUAUAGAUGGAUCCGCGCCGUAUUAGCUAGUUGGUAAGGUAACGGCUUACCAAGGCAACGAUACGUAGCCGACCUGAGAGGGUGAUCGGCCACACUGGAACUGAGACACGGUCCAGACUCCUACGGGAGGCAGCAGUAGGGAAUCUUCCGCAAUGGGCGAAAGCCUGACGGAGCAACGCCGCGUGAGUGAUGAAGGUCUUCGGAUCGUAAAACUCUGUUAUCAGGGAAGAACAAAUGUGUAAGUAACUGUGCACAUCUUGACGGUACCUGAUCAGAAAGCCACGGCUAACUACGUGCCAGCAGCCGCGGUAAUACGUAGGUGGCAAGCGUUAUCCGGAAUUAUUGGGCGUAAAGCGCGCGUAGGCGGUUUUUUAAGUCUGAUGUGAAAGCCCACGGCUCAACCGUGGAGGGUCAUUGGAAACUGGAAAACUUGAGUGCAGAAGAGGAAAGUGGAAUUCCAUGUGUAGCGGUGAAAUGCGCAGAGAUAUGGAGGAACACCAGUGGCGAAGGCGACUUUCUGGUCUGUAACUGACGCUGAUGUGCGAAAGCGUGGGGAUCAAACAGGAUUAGAUACCCUGGUAGUCCACGCCGU
RNAcentral lists this ribosomal RNA (710 nucleotides) under Staphylococcus sp. 60Pb5c. RNAcentral describes it as "bacterial SSU rRNA". It matches the Rfam family "Bacterial small subunit ribosomal RNA", at positions 106 to 803 of the family's 1533-position model. The record is from RNAcentral. Lineage: Bacteria; Bacillati; Bacillota; Bacilli; Caryophanales; Staphylococcaceae.